This 3684-nucleotide unclassified non-coding RNA is filed under the name Eurytemora carolleeae. RNAcentral's name for it is "tAR DNA-binding protein 43". The record is from RNAcentral. Lineage: Eukaryota; Metazoa; Arthropoda; Copepoda; Calanoida; Temoridae.
CUUACGUAAGUGUCUAGCCCUGCUGGCUGCUCAGUUCUGUGUAUGUGUGUGUGGUUGGGAUGAUGAGAGUCUGAUUAGACAACGGGUCAACCUGUCUAGUUGUCUGAGAGAGAGGAUGAGUUAUGUGGGCGUGGCAGAAGAGGAGGGCGGAGAACCUACGGAACUACCAGUAGAGGAGGAUGGUACAGUUCUCCUGACUACUCUUGCCGCCCAGUUUCCUGGAGCAUGUGGUCUCAAGUUCAGAAAUCCUGAUACUAGAGCCUGGAGAGGGAUUAGAUUAGCAGAUGGAAGAUUGUUUCCUCCUGCAGAUACAGGGUGGGGAAAUCUUAUUUGUAUUGCUGUUAUUCCUAAAUUAGAAAAUGUUGAGAAGCUACGCAAGUCGGAGGAUACGGGAGAUAUGAACGGACGGAGUAAACGAAAUGAUCGCAGUAAAUGUUCGGAUCUAAUUGUUCUGGGAUUACCUUGGAAAACAUCGGAACAAGAACUUAGAGAAUAUUUUGAACCAUUCGGUGAGGUUCUCAUGGCGCAGGUUAAAAAAGAGAUAAAAACCGGACAGUCUAAAGGAUUUGGAUUUAUAAGAUUCUCUAGUUAUGAAGCUCAGAUGCGUGUUCUAGCUCAACGACAUAUGAUUGAUGGACGAUGGUGUGAUGUUAAAAUACCAAACAGUAAAGAAGGGCAGGUUCAGCAGGUUCCUUGUAAGGUGUUUGUUGGUCGAUGCACUGAGGAUAUGGCCGCAGAGGAUUUAAAGGAAUACUUUGCAAAGUUUGGAGAAGUCACAGAUGUUUUUAUUCCAAAACCAUUCAGAGCUUUCUCAUUCAUCACAUUUCUUGAUCCGGAGGUUGCGCAAUCUUUGUGUGGGGAAGAUCAUAUAGUAAAAGGAGUAUCUGUUCAUGUAUCAAAUGCUGCUCCUAAAACGGAUCCAACCCGCCAGCAUGCUGGCUUCCCCAGGGUUCCGGUUCAGGGCAGGGACAAGGGACAGAGCCCCUUCGGUCCCCAGCCCCCUUACGGGAAUGGUGGGGCCAUGGGCGUAGGAGGAGGAGGGGGCCAAGGAUGGAAUACAGGAGCUGGACAAUCCAGCAAUAAUCCUAUCCCUGGUCUUCACGGUCUAAACCUGGGUCCUAUGCCGGUCAAUCCAGCUCUAGUAGCUGCUGCACUGAACCAGGCUAGCUGGGGUUUGAUAGGUAAUCUACAGGCUCAGGGAGGUCAAACCCCUGGAGAACAUAGUUUCCAACCUCCUACCAGCUCAUUUCUUCCUGUCACAGCUUCAGCAGGGGGACCUGGUACUCCAAUAGGAGCUCCUACAGGACCGGGAGCAGCUCAUAUAACAACGGUUACCAGUACAGGACCACCUGCUAACUCACCAGCCUUUCUUACAGGUGGAGUAAGCGGAGUAGGAGGUUGGGGUGGAGAAGGAGGUGGAGUUCCUGGUGGUACUCCUGCCCAGGGAGCUGCUGCAGGGACAUGGUCCUCUCAACCUAGAGAUAGACAAGGCUGGAAGAAUUAUGAUAUGUGAGGGAGCUGAGGCAUACCGGUUCCAGAGAGAGAUCAUUUUCAUUGAUCAAAUGCCUAAUGAUCAUUAAAAUAAUCAAUUUCUUAAUGAUCAUUUGUAGUCGUUGGAUCAACCUUUGCUUUGUUUUCCUUGAUCAUCUUUAGGAUUAACUAAAGGUUUAAAAUCAUCUUAAGCUUUAGAGUCAUCUUCAGCUUUAGAAUCAUCUUCAGCUUUGGAAUCAUCUUCAGCUUUGGAAUCAUCUUCAGCUUUAGAAUCAUCUUAAGCUUGAGAAACAUCUAUAAGCUUUGGAAUCGUCUGAAAACUCAGAAUUAUCCAUAGCUUUGGGAUUAUCAUAUCACUAAGAAGGUAUUUUGCUGGAGAAAUAAAUAACGCCCUUUGCUGCAAGAUAUCCUCAAGAUGAUCCCCCAAGUUCUUAUGAUCAAUGAUCAUACAAUUGAUCCAUCCAAAUCAGAAAACACCAUCUUCAAAUUAUCAAAAUUGUCUGUUAUUUUGAAUUCGUCUUUAAUUGCAUCCUUUAAUUGAUCAAGUUUGAGUUUGUUUAUUUUCUGUUAAAAGUUAAUCAAGGCGAUUCAAUUAACUAUUUUAAGCCUUCUUGCAGUGCUUAGGAUCUAGAUCCGUUAGAUCGGCACUAUUUUGACUCCGUGGAACCGGAUCCAAAGGGAAAAGGCGGUUAAAAAAGAUAGCUCUCAAAAUAUAAUUCUUAUUUGUUAACUUUUUAGAGAUUAAUUAACACUGUCUAAUCUCUGAAUGGCUUAUUUUGUUUCAGCACGAAAAUACGCAAAAAAAAGCAAAGCAAUUGUGGGAAAAAUUUUGUUUUAUGAAAUUUUCACUAUGGAGGACGAGGAUCCGGAUCCGGUUUUAGAUCCAGGUCCAUUUUUUAGGACGAAUCCAGGAUCCGCAUGAACAUGAAAUGGAUCCUAAGCACUGCCUUGUUGUAUGAAUUGUAACCUGUAAACCCCAGCUGUAUAUCAUGAUUAUUCAAAUAUCCAGCUGAUAUGUGCUUGAGAACGAAAAGAUCCUUGAAUGCUUAAAUUUAGAGUAUUUCAAGUAUGUUGAAUGCCUGAUUUAAUAAUUGUAUGUAAGAACCUGUAUACAUUAAUGUCAAAUAUUAAUUGUAUUGAAUGUUAUUAUAAUAUCCCUAGUUCUAUACCUCCUUGGUCUCGACUCCAACAGUAUGUAAAUAGUAAAUGCUUAACAGCACUCUAAACUUGUUGUUUUCUCUAUAUAAAGUUUAUUAGUCAAUAUUUCAAUAAUUACACACCAGAUGUACACAGUGUACCAUACGCCAGAUUGUACACUGUACUUUUCUUUAUGUACUGUAUUUACACCAGUCUUACACAGUGUACUCUUCUGUAUGUACUGUAUAAUUAAAGCAUGUCUCUCUUAUUUAAAUAUUAUAAACUAACCCCCCUCUCUCCAUUAAAAUUCAAUCUUCAAAUAUCAACCCCUUUUAUUUCCACUAAACUGUAAAAAAAAUGUUCUAAAAAAUGUUAAAUAAGCAUGUUUCAAUGUGUAUAUCUGUACAUAUCUCAUUAUUUAUUUGGAACCUUUAUUAUGUAACGUACAUGAGAACUAACAGAAAUAACAACCUGUAUUCGUUUCACCCUGAAUUCGUUACAUACUUCAGAACACACUUUAUUCUUUACAUACUUCAGAACACACUGUAUUCUAUACAUUUUUCAGAACACACUGUAUUCUAUACAUUUUUCAGAACACACCGUAUUCGUUACAUUCUUUAGGACACCCUAAAUUCGUUACUUACUUCAGAACACUCUGUUUUUGUUACAGACUAAAGCACAUCUUGUUAACAGAAAUAAUAAACUCUACAGUUUUCAGCUGUUCAUUGUUCAUGUUCAACCUAGUAACGUGACUUACAACUGUACAAUUUACAACAUUUUUACUGUUCAUUUGUACACCUGAACACCUAUAAAUAUGUUAACUUGUACACCUGCACACAUGUAAACAUGUAUUCCUGUACACCUGUUCACCUCAUGUACAGAUAUACACAUGUACAUCUGUACACAUAUACACAUGUACAACUUUUGUACAUCUGUACAUCUGUUCAUCUGUACCUCUGUCAUUAAUCUGUACACAAACAUUUAAAGCUUAGUUAAAUAUUCCUAAUUCAAAAAUUUGCAUCGAAUUUAAUAAAAAUUAAUAUAAUAUAAAAAUAA